UUGAAUUAUAUAGCAACAGUAACUCCUCGACCUUAAAUUCCCUCUUCUCAUUUAUCUUAUCACGGUAUAAUUUCAUUCUGUCUUCAUAGAGGGAAGUCCUCUCAUUAGAUCAAAGAAAAAAUUCAUCCAUCUCAUUCAGUAGUUCCAACCUCAAAUCAGCAGCCUAGCUCCAACUUAGAUUAAGCUUUUUGAGAUCCCA
This 199-nucleotide long non-coding RNA is filed under the name Capsicum annuum. RNAcentral describes it as "long non-coding RNA (CANN_LNC008561)". The record is from RNAcentral. Lineage: Eukaryota; Viridiplantae; Streptophyta; Magnoliopsida; Solanales; Solanaceae.